This is a non-coding RNA of Sesamum indicum (sesame), 3616 nucleotides long. The record is from RefSeq and is a predicted model, not a curated record. NCBI's taxonomy places the organism in Eukaryota, Viridiplantae, Streptophyta, Magnoliopsida, Lamiales, Pedaliaceae.
UCUUAAUCUAUUUUAUAUACGAAAUACAAAUUUUUUUUCAGUCGUGUAAUUUUUAGUAUAAAGCAACUGCUAAUCAUUUAUAUAAACUUGAAUCGAUCGUUGAACAAACUUUUAGCCAUCAAUAUAAAAUUGUGUAGUGAAAAUUUUCAUGUUGUGCAGAGUUCAUGAAGACACAGUAGUACGUGUAUAUAUUUCUGUCAAGUUGAGGAGAAACCACCCGCAGCGCCUCCCUUUCCCUCCCCGGCGGCGGACCACUCUCAUCCACCGUCGCUUCUCUCGCUCCAGUAGCAUAGGGUAUGGAUAGAAGUUUGGGGAAGUAAGUGAAUUCAUUUUGAGGUAAUUGAAGAAAAAAAUAAACAAGGAACUAAUUAAGUAGGCCUUGAGUUUGAUGUUGCCUCAACCAGGAAUUUGAAUUAGGGCUUACUUUAUUGAGUUUUGAAGUUUUUAGCGAGUUCAUGCUGGAGAAACUUUUGUUCAGGAAUUUGUCCGUACAAUUAGAUUCGAUGGAGUUUUAGUUGGACUAUCAGCAUUAGAGCAGUUAGACAAUACUGUUGGAGGUUAUGUUGUCGAACACCUCAUGUGCAUAGCACACAUAAGAAAGAAGUACAUGUAAUCUUUGAUGAUGCACGACAGUUGUUGUUCCUUGAUUAUCUAUAUGGAUAUGUGUGUUCUAACACCAGCAAUCAACUUUCUGGUUAUCUUUAUUGGAGCCUGGGGUUACUUUAAUAGCUUAUAUCCUUGGGGUUAUUCUACACUUCUAACUGUUCGUGUUUGGAAUUCAUGGGAACUGCAACAUUAAUGCAAUAAUUUGUUCAUUUUUUCCUUUUAAUUUUGGUUCGUGCUGCUAUGAACUAUUUUAAGCCAUAUAUUUUUUUAGAAAUGCAAUGAAUUUUCUAGAUACUUCCUAAUAUAACCUAAAGUUGAACAGAUUGAAGCCUGGGGUAAGUGGACUUAUGUGCAUAAGUAUUAAAGUGAUUGUUGUAGAGAGCCCAUGAGAGAAAAAUAGAUUGAACUGAAAUAAUUUAUAUGCACAACCAAAAAGUGUAGAAAAGUUUAUUCUGGUUGAAGCAAUUUUAGGAGCUUAUACUAUUGUAAAAUGGAUCCUACAUACUGCAUUGCAUUUCUGACUCUUAUGUGCUUCCUUGUUUAUGUAUUGUAUGGUUCACAAACUAAAUUGUUGAGAGGAAGCAAAGGGGCGUGGACGAGCAAUUUAUACUCAGAGUUCUGCUUGUUGAAAAGACAGAGCAGCUCUUAAACAAUUAUUGCUCGCCUUUGGAGGCCAGUCUUUGGAUUUGUCCUUUUCCCUUAAGCUUAUAUGUUUUCUCUUUCCAGUGUUUCCUUUUUACACUUUUGUGCUUUUACUAUUGCUAUCCUUUUCCAAAUGUUUUGAGUAAUAAAAGUGUAGGUUUCGAAUUUGGAUGUAAAAGGAGUGCAUGGUCACAUGAGUUAUCUAGCUUACCCCUUAAUGCUGCUUGAGUUAAGAGUCAUGCACUAAUAAACUACAGACUUGGAGUUGCAGUACCUCACAUACAAUAUAAAUUACUCCCUCAACUUCAAUCCUAGGCCAUUGCAUAAUCGGCAUUGAAAAAUGUAAUGACAUUCAGGCAUAUCACGUUGACAAAUGACCAUACAGAUUUGCAUUACUCGUAUGCAGAAGUGUUCCUUAGGGGAAGUUUUGUUUGCCUGAUUUUAGGAACUAUAUGAUGACUGUUUCAAAGGAUGGAAGGACUAGCAGAUUUCUUAUGACGAGUGACUGGUUUUGCUGCCUCUCUUUCGGAUCUUCCUUGUAUUUUAGAGUCGUCCAAACUUUACAAUAAUUUUGGUUUAAUAAAAACUGCAUAUAUUGGUCAAGUAUGUAAAUUGAUCUUAACUAAUUUCUUGUAUUCUUGUAGAUAGCAUCUUAGGUUGUGAUAUAGCCAGGUCAAGUAUUCGGUACCUUCCCAGACAAUAAUGGCGAGAGUAUGUAUUUGCUAACUAGACCCUAUAAUUUUGUGCUCUUACUAUAAGUUGUUUUUAGUUUGAAGCUUGAGGUUGCAUCUUGUUUAGAGAAAGAUUUGCAGAACAUUGUGCCUGGCGGAACAGCUGCAAAUGUUGACAUUCUUUCAUUUUGUUAAGUCUCUCUGUUUCUUCCCCCAUCCUACAGUGAAACAUGUUAACAUACACAUCAGAAGUUCUGUUGGAAAGUCAGUGUUCCAGAUCUGUUGUGAAAGAGCUUAUUCUCUGGGGCAAUUUUAAUUCUCUACUUAUGUGUCUCUAAUAUCCACAAGGAAUGAUAACUCGUUAUUGGAGAAUAUGCAAUAGAAGGGGGUCAACACCCCUUAUCUGCUUAAUUACGUUUUGAAGCGGCUGAGCAAGAUGGUGAUAGGAAUGCACUUAAUGCAAGUAAAAAGGUAGUCAAUACCCCUUCAGCACUAAGCUUGAUGUGCCUGAUGGGAAGCCCGGCGAGAGAUUCUGAUGACUCUGCUGAUUCAUUAAGAACCAGAGAUCUGUUUGCCAAAGUUGGAUAUGUAUGGUCGGACAAAGAUUCUUAGCCUGUUGGAGUUGGUCAUGAGGCAACAGUCCACCUGUCAUUGUUUCUAUGUCCUUGUUGAAGUUUUAGCUUUCAUUUGAUGUACCCCAAUGGUAUUUGAUCGUAUAUUUCUGUUAAAAGAUUGAGUUUAUUCUUAUUCACUUUGCAAGAAGUGGAGAAGAGCUACAAUGCUGAAAGUUUUUAUUUCUCAUAAACAAGAUAGCAAAAAUAAUAUACAGAAUAAUUAAUAAAGAUACAAAUAUGUAUAUAAAAAUACUUUUUGGUAUUCGGUAUGGUUUUGAUAAACUAGACUAAAAACCAAACUGAUACCAAAGUUUCAUAAAACUGAAAACUGAAUACCAAACUAAAUUUUUUGAGUUUGGUUUCAAUACGACUGAAUUCGGGUUUCAGUUCGGUUUAGUCAUUUUUACCAAAUUGUAAACACACCCCAUUUCUCUCAAAUUUCUGUUUAUCUAUUUUGAGUUGCUCCUUUUAGAUUUUAUGCGAUUCUUCAUAUCUAUUUUGGGACUUAUUCAGUGACGGCAUUGCUUUACCUGCAGCAGCUAUUGCAUAAACUGCAUGGUUGGUACUCUUAAUGUGGCGUUCUGUGGCAAGCUGUAGCUGUUAUCACUAGAGGUGCCAGGCUGAUCAGUAGGAUAUCAAAGAAACCUAUAAUGAAGCGGCUCUCGCCACCUGAGAAGGUAUGUACGUACUCAUACUUAUCAAAAUUUCUAUACACGAAGCAUUGGGCGACCAGGAGAAGCCAUAUUUGUGCAUAAGUAAGUUGAGCACAAUUUUUGUGAAGGUGUUGUGGUUGUCAAAGUGUGAUGCUUUUUUCUAGCUUGUUGAUUAGCGUGUGAAACAUGUGGUUUCUAGUAUAAUAUUUGAGCAGCAUUAGCAUUAUGGUUUUUCCCAUGUUGAACUGUCAUUGUUGUGUUUUGAUCCUUGGGAACGUAACAUUUCAUAGUUUAAAGGAAAAUACCUAAUAGUAAACCGAACUAUAGUUCAAUCUUUUCAUGCCACUUUACAGGUAAUUAUGUAGCCGGCCAAGGUCUUGAAAAGGAGUGUAAAAUGUAGGAUGAUUGUCCCAAGAAGCAGAAGUCAAGA